Molecule: ribosomal RNA, 122 nt
Filed under: Petromyzon marinus (sea lamprey)
Lineage: Eukaryota; Metazoa; Chordata; Hyperoartia; Petromyzontiformes; Petromyzontidae
Source: RNAcentral
GCCUAUUAUCAAAUCACCGUGAAUGCGCCCGAUUUCAUUAGAUCUCAGAAGCUAAGCAGGUUUGAGCCUGCUAAGUAGUAUAGCGAUGGGAGGCUACCUGGGGAUAUAAAAUGGUGCAGGCU